Molecule: ribosomal RNA, 457 nt
Filed under: uncultured Methanosaeta sp.
Lineage: Archaea; Methanobacteriati; Methanobacteriota; Methanomicrobia; Methanotrichales; Methanotrichaceae
Description: bacterial SSU rRNA
Rfam family: Archaeal small subunit ribosomal RNA
Source: RNAcentral
AACGGGUGGAGCCUGUCGGUUUUAAUUGGAUUCAACGCCGGAAAUCUCACCGGGGCGACAGCAAUAUGAAGGUCAGGCUGAAGACCUUACCCGAUUAGCUGAGAGGUGGUGCAUGGCCGUCGUCAGUUCGUACUGUGAAGCGUCCUGUUAAGUCAGGCAACGAGCGAGACCCACGUCCACAGUUGCCAGCAUACCCUCCGGGGUGAUGGGUACACUGUGGAGACCGCCGCUGCUAAAGCGGAGGAAGGAGUGGGCAACGGUAGGUCAGUAUGCCCCGAAUCUCCCGGGCUACACGCGGGCUACAAUGGUUGGUACAAUGGGCAUCUACCCCGAAAGGGGAAGGAAAUCUCUUAAAGCCAAUCGUAGUUCGGAUUGAGGGCUGCAACUCGCCCUCAUGAAGCUGGAAUCCGUAGUAAUCGCGUUUCAACAGAACGCGGUGAAUACGUCCCUGCUCCUU